Non-coding RNA from Parasteatoda tepidariorum (common house spider), 508 nucleotides. The record is from RefSeq and is a predicted model, not a curated record. NCBI's taxonomy places the organism in Eukaryota, Metazoa, Arthropoda, Arachnida, Araneae, Theridiidae.
UUAUAUUAUUGUCUUUGGAGAAGUUCAGCCCUCAUUCCGAGUUCGUGAUGCUAACUACAAGCCAUGGGUCUUGGCUCAUACUGAUGGCAGAAUUCAAUGUGGCCAUUGCACAUGUGUUGCUGGUUUAGGAGAAACUUUCAGUCAUGUUGCUGCCUUACUAUUCAAAAUUGAGCUAACAGUUCGCCUUGGAUUGAAUGUACAAGCUCUUACAGAAACUGCUUGUCAGUGGAAUUGCAAGGUUUCAAAAAAGGUAUGAAGUGAUUAGCUGAUAUUAAAAUUGAAUAACAUAUUUGAAAUUAAUAACAAAUUUUUAUUUAUAAAACCUAUACUCUUAUUGCAUGAAAUCUCUACAAAUUUUUUAAAGUUUACAGGUUUCACGAAAUCUCGAUAAGUCCUAAGAUAUUUUUCAUCCUUUUAUUAUUUAUGUAUAUCAGAUUCAGUAUGUAUAUUCGAUCCAUUUCUCUAGCUUGUAAUGUUUGAGUUAAAUGCAAUAUUUAUCCUAAAAAGA